Molecule: long non-coding RNA, 1586 nt
Organism: Oncorhynchus keta (chum salmon)
Lineage: Eukaryota; Metazoa; Chordata; Actinopteri; Salmoniformes; Salmonidae
Exons: 3
Source: RefSeq, a predicted model, not a curated record
UUGUAAAAGCAGGUUCUACUGCAACAAUGCUUUAGCGUAAUUAUGAGUUAUUUGCUUCGGUGCAAGAAUUCUUUCUUUGAACACAAUAAACAAAACCCCGGAGUCCUCCCCAAAUACCCAUUUUGUUUUUUCUAAUACAUUAUGACAGAAUCAACCCCCAUAUGAUGUGCAGUAUUUAGUACCACAGUGUUUAGGUCACAUUUAGUUUUCUAGUGUCGAAGUGACAGAGAGAAGCAUAUCUUAUUGUUUUUAUUUAUUGAUUUAUUUAGUUGAUUUUUUUAUAUAUUUUUUUUCAUUUGUCGAGAGACCUAUCUGGUGGUGUCUCACGGAAUUGCAGGACUGAUUAUUGGCAAGUCAGUUUAUAAUUGGCAGCUAGCUCCAUUUGAAUGAUACAGCAGCAACACCUGGUCAACAGCAUCGGCUUUUAGGCCUCCUGCUCCGUCUCCUAGAGGGAAGCGGUGUGAGGUGAUGCAGAGGCUCGCCUCGUAGGGAGCUUUUAGGCCUCCUGCUCCGGCUCCUAGAGGGAAGCGGUGUGAGGUGAUGCAGAGGCUCGCCUCGCAGGGCGCUUUUAGGCCUCCUGCUCCGGCUCCUAGAGGGAAGCGGUGUGAGGUGAUGCAGAGGCUCGCCUCGUAGGGAGCUUUUAGGCCUCCUGCUCCGGCUCCUAGAGGGAAGCGGUGUGAGGUGAUGCAGAGGCUCGCCUCGUAGGGAGCUUUUAGGCCUCCUGCUCCGGCUCCUAGAGGGAAGCGGUGUGAGGUGAUGCAGAGGCUCGCCUCGUAGGGAGCUUUUAGGCCUCCUGCUCCGGCUCCUAGAGGGAAGCGGUGUGAGGUGAUGCAGAGGCUCGCCUCGUAGGGAGCUUUUAGGCCUCCUGCUCCGGCUCCUAGAGGGAAGCGGUGUGAGGUGAUGCAGAGGCUCGCCUCGUAGGGAGCUUUUAGGCCUCCGGCUCCUAGAGGGAAGCGGUGUGAGGUGAUGCAGAGGCUCGCCUCGUAGGGAGCUUUUAGGCCUCCGGCUCCUAGAGGGAAGCGGUGUGAGGUGAUGCAGAGGCUCGCCUCGUAGGGAGCUUUUAGGCCUCCUGCUCCGGCUCCUAGAGGGAAGCGGUGUGAGGUGAUGCAGAGGCUCGCCUCGCAGGGCGCUUUUCAGGACUACUGCUGAGGUGUGGGGGUCUUAUUUGCACUUUUACAGUCCCCGAAGCAUAACCCAGGUGGGUGCUACCAGCCUGAUCUAGAGAGGAGGAGCUGUGAACAUCGACAGACAACAAGGUACUUGAUGAAGAGCUCCAUGGCCUGUCUUGUCAGAUGUCUCUACCUCCCUGCCUGGCUGUUCCAUCAAUGCUUCCUCCGGCGAUAAUACUACCUUUCUGAACUGCCCAUGAUGAAAGACCUUCGUCCAAUAACUACCAGAUCCUCCUACAUUUUUGUUGUUAAAUUGUUUUGUUUUUAAAAGCAACUUUGCGAUUCAACGUGUAAUGAAAAGCACCAUAUAAAAUGCAUGUAUUAUUAUUUACAUUUGAGAUACAAUUCUCUUGUUAUAAAAAGUGUUAUAAAUCCCAUCCUAUGUCCUAAAGAGUGCUUCUCCUCUCCUCCUCCGUU